UUUCCGUAGGUGAACCAGCGGAGGGAUCAUUAUCGAGUUUAUAACUCCCAAACCCUAUGUGAACUUACCACUUGUUGCUUCGGCGCGCGCUUCGGUGCCGCCGAGGACACUUAAACUCUUUGUUUUUAUAAGCAUUUCUGAGUGGCCGAAAGGCAAAAUACAAAUGAAUCAAAACUUUCAACAACGGAUCUCUUGGUUCUG
This 201-nucleotide unclassified non-coding RNA is filed under the name plant metagenome. RNAcentral describes it as "partial contains small subunit ribosomal RNA, internal transcribed spacer 1, and 5.8S ribosomal RNA". The record is from RNAcentral.